AGUUGCUAUCGGUACACCCGUUCGAAAGGCGGGGUCACAAAGCCUCCGGUCUACUUCCUUAGCGGGAAACGAUAGCGGGGCUGCCUCG
Paucibacter sp. KCTC 42545 is the source of this 88-nucleotide regulatory RNA element. It matches the Rfam family "c-di-GMP-I riboswitch aptamer". Rfam says of the family: GEMM was predicted in a large-scale screen for bacterial structured RNA regulatory elements. The record is from Rfam. NCBI's taxonomy places the organism in Bacteria, Pseudomonadati, Pseudomonadota, Betaproteobacteria, Burkholderiales, Sphaerotilaceae.